GAUUCUGUGCUCCAAAAAGUGGUUGCUGCGGUGGUCACGAUGGGGAAGUCAGAUUUUCUUACCCCCAAAGCCAUCGCCAACCGGAUCAAAUCCAAAGGACUUCAGAAGCUGCGUUGGUAUUGCCAGAUGUGCCAGAAGCAGUGCCGGGACGAGAAUGGCUUCAAGUGUCAUUGUAUGUCUGAAUCUCAUCAGAGACAGCUAUUACUUGCUUCCGAAAAUCCUCAGCAGUUUAUGGAUUAUUUUUCAGAGGAAUUCCGAAAUGACUUUCUAGAACUUCUCAGAAGACGCUUUGGCACUAAGAGAGUCCACAACAACAUUGUCUACAAUGAAUACAUCAGCCACCGAGAGCACAUCCACAUGAAUGCCACUCAGUGGGAAACACUGACUGAUUUUACCAAGUGGCUGGGCAGAGAAGGCUUGUGCAAAGUGGAUGAGACACCAAAAGGCUGGUAUAUUCAGUAUAUAGAUAGAGACCCCGAAACUAUCCGCCGCCAACUGGAACUAGAGAAAAAGAAGAAGCAAGACCUCGAUGAUGAGGAAAAAACUGCCAAAUUUAUUGAAGAACAAGUGAGAAGAGGUCUAGAAGGAAAAGAACAGGAGGUCCCUGUUUUUACAGAAUUAAGCAGAGAAAAUGAUGAAGAAAAAGUCACAUUUAACCUGAAUAAAGGAGCAUGUAGCUCAGCAGGAGCAACAUCUUCCAAAUCAGGUUCUUUAGGACCAAGUGCACUCAAGACACUAGGGAGUACAGCUUCAGUGAAACGAAAAGAAUCUUCCCAGAGCUCAGCUCAAUCUAAAGAAAAGAAGAAGAAGAAAUCUGCACUCGAUGAAAUCAUGGAGAUUGAAGAGGAAAAGAAACGAACAGCCCGAACAGAUUACUGGCUACAGCCUGAAAUCAUUGUGAAAAUUAUAACCAAAAAACUUGGAGAGAAGUAUCACAAGAAAAAGGGUAUCGUUAAGGAGGUAAUUGACAAAUAUACAGCUGUUGUAAAGAUGAUUGAUUCUGGAGACAAGCUGAAACUUGACCAGACUCAUUUAGAGACAGUAAUUCCAGCACCAGGGAAAAGAAUUCUGGUUUUAAAUGGAGGGUACAGAGGAAAUGAAGGUACCCUAGAAUCCAUCAAUGAGAAAACAUUCUCAGCUACGAUAGUCAUUGAAACUUUACCCAACUUGUGAGCAGAGGGCUUCCAAUGUAUGAAGAUGAGAACAAUAGAUUCAUUAAUCUUGGCAUUUCCUAAUGCACACUUAUAGUCAUUAUUGACACUUAAGAGACAAGCACCCUAGUGUGAAAGUCAACAAGRAAGGAAAGGAUUCCAGAAGAGACUUCUUUAGCAAGUCAUUCUCACCCCCAAUAUAUACUCUCCAUASCUCCCAGUACAAUUCCCCUUGUGUUUUAAGAGCUUUCCCAUGUUUUUGCUACAGAAUGCUGGAGGUUUUGUUGUUGUUGUUGUUUGUUUGUUUGUUUGUUUUUGUGGUGCUGGGGAUUGAACCCAGGGUCUUGUGCAUGUGAGUCAAGCACUCUACCAACUGAACUAUAUUCCCAGCCCUCAGAAUGCUGUUCUUUUAACUCCCAGCUCUAAAAUUCUGUCAAUUUGCAUGUUUAUAGGUAAACCAUCAAUUAACAGAUACUAAUUGGUAAGACACAUGGGGCUUGGAGCAGGCUCCCUGACAGAGUCAGCUGGGGAUUUCGGUUGAUGAGUUUGUUUACUGAUCCAACGCAUGUAUUAGGCCAGGCACUGAGACAUAGUAGUGACCAAAAAGCUACCUGGAAGAGUAUGGUAGGUAAGAACAACUUUCUUGAGCCUUGGCUUCCUUAUGCUUAAACUGAUWAUUUUAAAUUCUGUGUUGAUGUUGAUGUUUGGAUUUAUUUGUGCAGCCAUGCCUCAAAGACAGGAAUCCAUUCAGAUGGAGUAAU
This is an RNA transcript of Urocitellus parryii (Arctic ground squirrel), 1912 nucleotides long. It is a transcript of the gene named Kin17 DNA and RNA binding protein, with no coding region annotated. The record is from RefSeq and is a predicted model, not a curated record. NCBI's taxonomy places the organism in Eukaryota, Metazoa, Chordata, Mammalia, Rodentia, Sciuridae.